UACAGAGGGGGCAAGCGUUAUUCGGAAUUAUUGGGCGUAAAGGGCGCGUAGGCGGCCUGACAAGUGGAAGGUGAAAUCCCUCGGCUUAACCGAGGAACUGCCCUCCAAACUGUUUGGCUUGAGACCGGGAGAGGUGAGUGGAAUUCCCAGUGUAGCGGUGAAAUGCGUAGAUAUUGGGAGGAACACCAGUGGCGAAGGCGGGUCUCUGGGCAACAACUGACGCUGAGGAGCGAAAGCGUGGGGAGCGAACAGG
RNAcentral lists this ribosomal RNA (253 nucleotides) under uncultured bacterium. RNAcentral describes it as "partial 16S ribosomal RNA". It matches the Rfam family "Bacterial small subunit ribosomal RNA", at positions 524 to 776 of the family's 1533-position model. The record is from RNAcentral.